ACUCCUACGGGAGGCAGCAGUGGGGAAUAUUGCACAAUGGGGGAAACCCUGAUGUAGCCAUGCCGCGUGUGUGAAGAAGGCCUUCGGGUUGUAAAGCACUUUCAGUAGGGAGGAAGGUAGUGUAGUUAACACCUGCAUUAUUUGACGUUACCUACAGAAGAAGCACCGGCUAACUCCGUGCCAGCAGCCGCGGUAAUACGGAGGGGUGCGAGCGUUAAUCGGAAUUACUGGGCGUAAAGCGCAUGCAGGCGGCCUGUUAAGUCAGAUGUGAAAGCCCGGGGGCUUAACCUCGGAAUUGCAUUUGAAACUGGCAGGCUAGAGUCUUGUAGAGGGGGUAGAAUUUCAGGUGUAGCGGUGAAAUGCGUAGAGAUCUGAAGGAAUACCAGUGGCGAAGGCGGCCCCCUGGACAAAGACUGACGCUCAGAUGCGAAAGCGUGGGGAGCAAACAGGAUUAGAUACCCUGGUAGGAUA
RNAcentral lists this ribosomal RNA (471 nucleotides) under uncultured bacterium. Its description in RNAcentral is "bacterial SSU rRNA". It matches the Rfam family "Bacterial small subunit ribosomal RNA", at positions 335 to 797 of the family's 1533-position model. The record is from RNAcentral.